GAUGAAGAACGUAGCGAAAUGCGAUAAGUAAUGCGAAUUGCAGAAUUUCCGUGAGUCAUCGAAUCUUUGAACGCACAUUGCGCCCGCCAGUAUUCUGGCGGGCAUGCCUGUUCGAGCGUCAUUUCAACCAUCAAGCCCCAGGCUUGUGUUGGAGCCCUGCGGCUGCCGCAGCCUCCCAAAACCAGUGGCGGGCUCGCUAUCACACCGAGUGCAGUAGUUUACUCUUCGCUCAGGGCGUGUGGCGGGUGCUAGCCGUAAAACCCCCAACUUCUCAAGGUUGACCUCGGAUCAGGUAGGAAUACCCGCUGAACUUAAGCAUAUCAAUAAGCGGAUGA
Molecule: unclassified non-coding RNA, 335 nt
Filed under: soil metagenome
Description: partial contains 5.8S ribosomal RNA, internal transcribed spacer 2, and large subunit ribosomal RNA
Rfam family: 5.8S ribosomal RNA (bases 1-121)
Source: RNAcentral